UCCAGGCAGGACAGGAAAAGGUGG
Molecule: non-coding RNA, 24 nt
Filed under: Rattus norvegicus (Norway rat)
Lineage: Eukaryota; Metazoa; Chordata; Mammalia; Rodentia; Muridae
Source: RNAcentral